AGUAAAAGUCGUAACAAGGUUUCCGUAGGUGAACCUGCGGAAGGAUCAUUACCGAGUACCGGAGCCUUCGGGUUCCUACUCCCACCCUAUGUUGACUUUAAAACGUUGCUUUGGCAGACCGGCGAGUUCACCGCUGGCCCUAGUGGCUGGAGAGUUGUCUGCCAGAGGAAUUUUAAACUCUGUUAAUUGUGAAUUCUGAGUAUUGAGAAAUUGAAUCAAAACUUUCAACAACGGAUCUCUUGGUUCUGGCAUCGAUGAAGAACGCAGCGAAAUGCGAUAAGUAAUGUGAAUUGCAGAAUUCAGUGAAUCAUCGAAUCUUUGAACGCACAUUGCGCCCUUUGGUAUUCCGAGGGGCACGCCUGUUCGAGCGUCAUUUAAACCAUCAAGCCCAGCUUGGUCUUGGACCUGGUCGAGCGACCUGUCCGUAACCAUUUGGCGGUGCAGUCCGGCUUCAAGCGUAGCAGAAUUUUCGCUUUAGGAGUCCGCGGCGGUACCUGCCAGGAAAUCACCCUCUAAAGUUUGACCUCGGAUCAGGUGGGGAUACCCGCUGAACUUAAGCAUAUCAAUAAGCGGAGGAAAAGAAACCAACAGGGAUUGCCUCAGUAACGGCGAGUGAAGCGGCAACAGCUCAAAUUUGAAAUCUGGCUUCCGCCCGAGUUGUAAUUUGCAGAGGAGGCUUUGGAGUCGUCCCGGUCCAAGUUCCUUGGAACAGGAUGUCGCAGAGGGUGAGAAUCCCGUACGCGGCCGGAAGGCUUCUCCGUGUAAAGCCCCUUCGACGAGUCGAGUUGUUUGGGAAUGCAGCUCUAAAUGGGAGGUAAAUUUCUUCUAAAGCUAAAUACCGGCCAGAGACCGAUAGCGCACAAGUAGAGUGAUCGAAAGAUGAAAAGCACUUUGAAAAGAGAGUUAAAAAGUACGUGAAAUUGUUGAAAGGGAAGCGUUUGUAGCCAGACUUGGCGGCAGUUGCUCAACCGGUCUUUGCCCGGUGCACUCUUCUGCCGACAGGCCAGCAUCAGUUCGGGCGGCCGGAUAAAGGCAUUGGGAAUGUGGCUCCUCGGAGUGUUAUAGCCCUUUGCACAAUGCGGCCAGCCCGG
This 1091-nucleotide unclassified non-coding RNA is filed under the name Dothideomycetes sp. KO-groupC 2014. RNAcentral's name for it is "partial contains ITS1, 5.8S rRNA, ITS2 and LSU". The stretch from base 521 to 1091 matches the Rfam family "Eukaryotic large subunit ribosomal RNA", at positions 1 to 583 of the family's 3401-position model. The record is from RNAcentral. Lineage: Eukaryota; Fungi; Ascomycota; Dothideomycetes.